CUGCUUUAAUCAAUUCUUUAAAACACUAAAAUUUUGUCUUUCUUCUCACUAAGUCAAAAUGCAUAAAUAUAUUUAAAUCUUGGCAUUUGUAGCAUCUGGCAGAAACUCUGGAUCUUGACCAUGGUGAACAAAAAAAUCAGAGUUAACCAAGAGUACGAGGAUCUAGUCGAACAAAAGAGAAGUUGUCAGCACGAAGUCGUAGCAAUUUGAAUUUUAUGAUUUAAGAGUAUUUUUAUCGGUUUGAAAGAUGCUAGUUUUAAGAUUUAAAUUUUUAGUUUUGUUUGUUCAGGUACAAUAACUUAAAGAAAGGAGACAGCCUGAAGGAAAUGCAGGAAAGAAAAAUAUAUCCCAAUCCCAAUCCCAAUAGGAAUCUCACUUUCUCAGCUUCAGAGUCGUGAAACUAGGAAGAAGCAGCUUGUAGCAUUCUUAGCUGCGGCAAUGUUGGCUGAUUGAGGCCCUAGAUUGAAGCUGACAUAAGACCAUUUAGAGGCUUGUUGCAUGGAUUAUUUUUUGUAACUACGGGGACUUCAAUUGACAUGCAGGUGGAGAUAGUGAUGCAACAGGAUGGCCUCAUGUGGCAUUGAUCUUGACCCCACAGUGGUAGAGGCUACUAGAAAACUUGGUCGUACUAUUCUCUAUGGGGAUGGAUCACGUCUAACUGUUUUCAAUCUGCUGGUAUCUUUUCUCCAAAAGCUAUUGUGGUUAUGUACACUGGGAAGAAGAAGACAGUUGAAGCUGUUCAGAGGCUAUGAUUUAGUGAUUUACAUUUCCUGUAGUAAUGAUCUCUUUCUCUUGAUUACCCAUACAAGUGUACAACGGUACAAGGAUUUGGGUGUCAGGAGUAGCUAUUUAACAACUAAACAAGGCACUCAUCAUGUGUUACCUUAUUCCUUACCCUAUCUCUGAGCAUACUUCUGCCACCUCAACAUCAGUUGCUUUCUUAAAGAACAUGUGGAUUAAAUGAAUCAGAUUGUUUUUUUAUA
This is a long non-coding RNA of Lotus japonicus, 983 nucleotides long. RefSeq lists it as uncharacterized. The record is from RefSeq and is a predicted model, not a curated record. NCBI's taxonomy places the organism in Eukaryota, Viridiplantae, Streptophyta, Magnoliopsida, Fabales, Fabaceae. The transcript is spliced from 4 exons.